UACGGGAGGCAGCAGUGGGGAAUAUUGGGCAAUGGGCGAAACCCUGAUCCAGCGACGCCGCGUGAGUGAAGAAGUAUUUCGGUAUGUAAAGCUCUAUCAGCAGGGAAGAUGAUGACGGUACCUGACUAAGAAGCACCGGCUAAAUACGUGCCAGCAGCCGCGGUAAU
Molecule: ribosomal RNA, 167 nt
Filed under: uncultured rumen bacterium
Lineage: Bacteria
Description: partial 16S ribosomal RNA
Rfam family: Bacterial small subunit ribosomal RNA
Source: RNAcentral